Molecule: small RNA, 3404 nt
Filed under: Pongo abelii (Sumatran orangutan)
Lineage: Eukaryota; Metazoa; Chordata; Mammalia; Primates; Hominidae
Description: retained intron
Source: RNAcentral
UACUUCUCUCAGAAAACUUGGAAAACACUGAAAAGCAGAAGGAAGGAGAAAACCUCACAUUCCCUUAGCCCUACCCCAAGACAGUAUCUUCUUCUCCAUGUUGUUUUACACAACUGAAAUCAUGUAGCAUAUACAGAGGCACGUCAUAAAUUCACAGAUAGAAAAUAAUAUGAACAGAGAGAUUUGACAGUAUAUGAUACCUACCACUGAGUGGUUUAAUUGUUUCUCCAAUAAAAAAUAAAUCUCAUCUCUCAGAUCAUUGAAUCUGAGUUUCUAAGAUGAACAAAAUCAUCACUCAGAUUCUUUGGGGAGGCAUUUGGCUAUUCUACCGUGUCAUGCAUCUCUGCUUUUGCAGAGGAGGAAGGAGAGACUUCUGUUUAGUAAUUUCUCCAUAUUGGGGUCCUGCUGUGAAAAAGUUUAGCUGUUCUUAGCAAGCGCUGGACCAGAACAGCCUCAGCAAUUGUUUAAGUGAUUGUCAGACAUGCAUCUGAUUAUGGUGAGAAGGAUAUUGCCAGAGAAAUAUCUUAACCUCUUGUAACUUCUUCAAGCUCCUUAGAGCUGGGUCUUUCUUUCCCCAGGACUCUUCUCAGGGGAGCUCCCGGAGUGCACUCAGGAGCUGAUGAUUGACGUCACCAAGAGCUACUACCAGAAGUUUUUGCCCCUGACACAAAUUUAGCAUCUCUGCCUCAUGUCUUGAAUCUGCUUGAGCUCUAAGAUGAACCUGGGGACAAAGUGAGCCAGUCAGCACCUACAAAGAGCUCUUGUGUCUUUGACAUCUACCACCCUCCUCCUUUUAAAAAAUUUCUGUAGAAUUUCUCGAUCUUCAAGGCUCUAAGCGCUUAAGAAUUCACUAACAGACAGACCAUCUGGAGGAGCUGACUUCAAAUGCUGUGCUUACACCUUAUCUAUGAACAGUCCACUUUGUACCAUUAUCUGUGGAACACAGAAUCAUCUGUUCCCAUGCUCCAGCCCCUUGGUCCUGUGGAUGGCUGGAUCCCGCCUGAAACGGACCUGCAGAGCAGCAGCACCCUUCUGGUGUGGAGGCUAUGUAGCUGGUGCGCUGCUCACGGCCAUUCACUGCCCAUGCUGAGCGCCUCUCACACAGGUAAUGCCCAGCUUUUCUGCUGCUAACACAUUUGGCCAGUUGUUGGAAUUGCUCAUUAUCUUGGGAAUGGUGUUUGUGACUUUUCAGAGCCCAGAUUCCUGUUGGCUAUUAAAACUUGAAGGGAGGGGUGAGUAGUGUUUCUCUCUCUUCUUCCCAAAAUGACCUUAGCUGUCCUAGGAUAGUUAGUAAAAGACUUUUUAGCAUUUUGACCUAGGGCCUUUGGCUUUCACUAAAAGUGGCCUCAGUAUCCCAGAUUGUAAUUUUGCCAAGUGUUAGAUUUGAGUCUCUCAUGUGGAUGCAUUAGUCAGGCGGUUGCUCCUUGCUUCAAGGUACUUACCUUAUUUCAUUGAAGACACCGCAUUUGUGAACUCUUGCUCCCUGGCCUAGAACCAUUCAGCCUACCCUGUAUUUGCCAUAAACUCCACAAUUCACACCAAAAUGUCUGUACUUAGAGCUCAUUCGCAUAUAUACAUGAAGGGCUCUUAGAAUCAGUUUGUGGGCACAGAGCCUCAGGAGUAAAUGAAGUUGCUAGGGCUGUUCUUACCAUCUCCUUCUGGCCAAAUAGCACAACCUUUCCUGGUUCUGCUCUGACCUCUUAGCUUAGAAGGAAGAUUUAGAAGUGAGGGGCUAAGAAGGUUGUCCUUGCUUAAUGCUCUGAUCUGUAAGUGAAUAGGGCAGAACAGUUCAGCCUUGAGGUUAGAAUUUAGCAGGAGCUAUCCUGACUUAAUAUCCAGUUGUGGGGUUUGCAAAACGAAACAGCUGUAUGUAAUCAUUGCCCACUAGUUCCAUCUAGAAAUCCUUUCUAGUUUGUCAUUUUUUAAAUGUUUAUACAUUAAAACCACCAAAAUACAUAGCUUCGACAAGAUGGAAGUUUAUUUCUCUCUUCCAUAACAGUGCAGUGAUAGUCAGCUGGUCCAGGCCAGGCAAGGGGCUGGUCCAUGAUGUCAUCAGGCACCGAGGUUCCUACUGUUUUGCCAUGUGGCCACAGUUAGCAACAAAGGAGGUUGUAAAUUUAGUUUCUACUUGGGCAGCCAAAACUCUGAGGAAGGAGAUUCUGCUAGUAAAAAGGAGUGGGGGAAGAAUGGCCACUGGGAGACAACAAGCAGACUCAACCAGGCCUCUGUGUUGGCUUCCUUUCCUCCUGCUGCACAUGAGCCUUCUCCAUGCAUUUGGAGCCAUGACAGCUGACAGCUCCAGACCUGCAUCCUCCCAGCUUGGGGGCCCUGAAUGAAAGGUUUCUUCCCUCCAGUUCUAAUUUGGAAACUCCCAAAGUUCUCAGUGGUUUGUUGUGAGUUCCAUGUCCUCUUGGAUCAGUCACUGUGGCCAUGCGUGUUUGGCCACAUGAUUAAUCCAGUCUGGGUCAUGACCUUUUCUUCAUUCAAAACAAGGUGGUGGGAAGACAAAAACAAUAGCUACUACAAACAAUAGGAGUUUAUAAUUAUGUGCUGAUGUAUUCGAAGAUGUGUUGACAGUCGUGAGUGUGUAUCCUAGGAAAGGCGAGCUGGACUCUGUCUCCAUGGUGGCUCUCACCCCAGGGACCUAGGAACAGCCUGUCACCACACAAUUACUUUUAUAACCCUAGAGAAGAAAAUCUCCUUGUCCUCAAAAUACUUCCAGAAGAACAACCAGAUGGGAAGGACCUUGGUUGGGACUCUUUCCAGUUCACUUGGGGCAGAGGGAAUUUAAUGGCUCACGUAGCUGAAAAGGAUGGGCUAGAUUGGGCUUCAGGCUGCAUCCCAGGGCUCCAAACAGGGAUCUGUCUCUUUGGCUCUCAGCUCUGCUUUCAUUUGAGUUGGCUUUAUUCUUGGGCUUCACAGUGUAGCCCCACAGCACCAGUUAUUGAUAAAAAGAGCUCCCCUUUGCUGACAGAACUGCUGGAUUUGGUUCUCAUUGGUCCAGAUGAGGAAGGUAUCUAGCCUCAAGUCAUCAUUGUGGCCAGGAAGAUGGAAUACACCGAAUGGACAGGCCUGGCAUGUACCCACAGAGACUGAGAGUUGGUGCUGCUGGUUGUGGUGGCAGAUGAUAUUACCUGAAGAAGGGACGAAUGGGUGCUGGGCAGGACAAAGCAGCAGCUGUCCAGUUCAGGCUUCUCCUCUUUCCCUGGUGUCUUCAUUUUCCUCCCUCUCCCUGCUGUCCCUUACCCUCUGCCCAAUCUUUAAUUACUUCUGGUCUUGGGAGGUGCCUUCUGAGGAUACUCCAUUGGGGGUACCUGAGCCUGGAUUAGAGGGCAGGGGGAGGAUAUUGCCUAGCCAAAGUGGGUGUUCAAUAAAGAACCAUUUGGAGAUGGUCUUCUGUCUGG